This is a non-coding RNA of Gossypium raimondii (Peruvian cotton), 107 nucleotides long. Lineage: Eukaryota; Viridiplantae; Streptophyta; Magnoliopsida; Malvales; Malvaceae. The record is from Rfam.
AUCCCAUCAUAAGGACACUUAUGAAGUAAUUCCUUGAAUCUUUCACACACCUCGUAUACGGACUCGUCAUCCAAUUGUUGAAAAGUGGUUAUCUCAUUUCGUAACUU